RNAcentral lists this ribosomal RNA (468 nucleotides) under uncultured bacterium. RNAcentral describes it as "partial 16S ribosomal RNA". It matches the Rfam family "Bacterial small subunit ribosomal RNA", at positions 28 to 507 of the family's 1533-position model. The record is from RNAcentral.
GACGAACGCUGGCGGCGUGCUUAACACAUGCAAGUCGAACGGAAAGGCCCUGCUUUUGUGGGGUGCUCGAGUGGCGAACGGGUGAGUAACACGUGAGUAACCUGCCCUUGACUUUGGGAUAACUUCAGGAAACUGGGGCUAAUACCGGAUAGGAGCUCCUGCUGCAUGGUGGGGGGUGGAAAGUUUCGGCGGGUGGGGAUGGACUCGCGGCUUAUCAGCUUGUUGGUGGGGUAGUGGCUUACCAAGGCUUUGACGGGUAGCCGGCAUGAGAGGGUGACCGGCCACAUGGGGACUGAGAUACGGCGCAGACUGCAACGGGAGGCAGCAGUGGGGAAUAUUGCACAGUGGGCGGGAGCCUGAUGCGGAAACGCCGCGUGCGGGAUGACGGCCUUCGGGGUGUAAACCGCUUUCGCCUGUGACGAGGCGUGAGUGACGGUAAUGGGUAAAGAAGCACCGGCUAACUACGUG